RNAcentral lists this ribosomal RNA (773 nucleotides) under uncultured archaeon. Its description in RNAcentral is "bacterial SSU rRNA". It matches the Rfam family "Archaeal small subunit ribosomal RNA", at positions 96 to 870 of the family's 1478-position model. The record is from RNAcentral.
UCACGUGGAUAAUCUGCCCUGAGGUGGGGAAUAACCCCGGGAAACUGGGGAUAAUGCCCCAUAGGUCACAGAUGCUGGAAUGCCCUGUGGCUCAAAGGUCCGCCGCCUCAGGAUGAGUCUGCGGCCGAUUAGGUUGUUGUUGGGGUAAUGGCCCAACAAGCCUGUAAUCGGUACGGGUUGUGAGAGCAAGAGCCCGGAGAUGGAUUCUGAGACACGAAUCCAGGCCCUACGGGGUGCAGCAGGCGCGAAAACUUUACAAUGCUGGCAACAGCGAUAAGGGAACCUCGAGUGCCAGGUUACAAAUCUGGCUGUCGUUGUGUCUAAAAAACACGAUAUAGCAAGGGCCGGGCAAGACCGGUGCCAGCCGCCGCGGUAACACCGGCGGCUCGAGUGGUAACCGUUAUUAUUGGGUCUAAAGGGUCUGUAGCCGGCCGGAUAAGUCUCUUGGGAAAUCCGGCAGCUUAACUGUCGGGCUUUCAGGAGAUACUGUUCGGCUCGAGGCCGGGAGAGGUGAGAGGUACUUCAGGGGUAGGGGUGAAAUCUUGUAAUCCUUGAAGGACCACCAGUGGCGAAGGCGUCUCACCAGAACGGACCUGACGGCAAGGGACGAAAGCUAGGGGCACGAACCGGAUUAGAUACCCGGGUAGUCCUAGCCGUAAACGAUACUCGCUAGGUGUCGGCCACGGUGCGACCGUGGUCGGUGCCGUAGGGAAGCCGUGAAGCGAGCCACCUGGGAAGUACGGCCGCAAGGCUGAAACUUAAAGGAUUUGGCG